UACGUAGGGUGCUAACGUUGUUCGGAAUCACUGGGCGUAAAGCGCACGUAGGCGGAUCUUUAAGUCAGGGGUGAAAUCCCAAGGCUCAACCUUGGAACUGCCUUUGAUACUGGGGAUCUCGAGUCCGGAAGAGGUGAGUGGAACUGCGAGUGUAGAGGUGAAAUUCGUAGAUAUUCGCAAGAACACCAGUGGCGAAGGCGGCUCACUGGUCCGGAACUGACGCUGAGGUGCGAAAGCGUGGGGAGCAAACAGG
This 253-nucleotide ribosomal RNA is filed under the name uncultured bacterium. RNAcentral describes it as "partial 16S ribosomal RNA". It matches the Rfam family "Bacterial small subunit ribosomal RNA", at positions 524 to 776 of the family's 1533-position model. The record is from RNAcentral.